GGGAUUGUGGCUCAGAGGUAGACCACUCACCUAGCAUGUGUGAAGCACUGAGUUCAAACCUCAGCACUACAU
This 72-nucleotide transfer RNA is filed under the name Marmota monax (woodchuck). Its description in RNAcentral is "tRNA.Ala". The record is from RNAcentral. Lineage: Eukaryota; Metazoa; Chordata; Mammalia; Rodentia; Sciuridae.